GAUGAACGCUAGCGGCAGGCUUAACACAUGCAAGUCGAGGGGCAGCACGUCUUCGGAUGGUGGCGACCGGCGCACGGGUGCGUAACGCGUAUACAACCUACCUUAUAGAGGGGAAUAGCCCAGAGAAAUUUGGAUUAAUGCCCCAUAGUAUUAUUGAAUAGCAUUAUUUAAUGAUUAAACAUUUAUGGCUAUAAGAUGGGUAUGCGUUCUAUUAGCUAGAUGGUAAGGUAACGGCUUACCAUGGCGACGAUAGAUAGGGGUCCUGAGAGGGAGAUCCCCCACACUGGUACUGAGACACGGACCAGACUCCUACGGGAGGCAGCAGUGAGGAAUAUUGGACAAUGGGCGAGAGCCUGAUCCAGCCAUGCCGCGUGCAGGAAGACGGCCCUAUGGGUUGUAAACUGCUUUUAUACGGGAAGAAACACUCCUUCGUGAAGGAGCUUGACGGUACCGUAAGAAUAAGGAUCGGCUAACUCCGUGCCAGCAGCCGCGGUAA
RNAcentral lists this ribosomal RNA (496 nucleotides) under uncultured bacterium. Its description in RNAcentral is "bacterial SSU rRNA". It matches the Rfam family "Bacterial small subunit ribosomal RNA", at positions 28 to 523 of the family's 1533-position model. The record is from RNAcentral.